This 372-nucleotide long non-coding RNA is filed under the name Mytilus galloprovincialis (Mediterranean mussel). Lineage: Eukaryota; Metazoa; Mollusca; Bivalvia; Mytilida; Mytilidae. The record is from RNAcentral.
AAAAAUUGUGUCCCAUGUUGACCGUGAUUCUAUUAAUUUAUAUAAUUGUCUAGUCAUAAUACGAGUAACAUUUCCUAAAACUGGUGACAUAGAAAUAAUACGACCUGCAAUUCUAGCUAAAUUCCGAGCUGUCACCCAAGGAAGUUUAUUACUGACUUUCUCAAUAAUACUUAUUAAAUCCUUAAUCCUAUCUUCUGGAAUUUGAAUUGAAUAAUCUUUUGAAUUCCAUUUUAAACCUAACCAAAUUAAUUCUUGGCAUGGAGUCCAUGUUGAUUUCUCUAGAUUCGCUACAAAACCAGCCUUUGAUAAUGAAUUAAAAACAAAUUGCGAAUCACACAAACUUGACUGAAAAUCUUGAUUUGUACCCCAUCC